Fukomys damarensis (Damara mole-rat) is the source of this 3163-nucleotide long non-coding RNA. The record is from Ensembl. NCBI's taxonomy places the organism in Eukaryota, Metazoa, Chordata, Mammalia, Rodentia, Bathyergidae.
CCUGAGACUCGUCCGGAGCAGCACAAGCCAUCAGCUUCACAAGAGUCCUGAGAGCUCAGAGAGGGACAUGAGGGACUGUGAGCGACACCAGGCCUGCUUGGGAGAACUGCUAGUUCUAGUCUGUUAGUUCAUAUUCUCUGUUUCCUCCAUGGAAGACAGAGAAAAACCGAUGUAAGACGGAAUGUAUCUUAACAAAGCGUCCCAUGACUUCCCCUAACUUCAAGGGGCAACAAAUCAAGGUCCUCUUUCAGGCCUGUCCAGUACCAGCUCAGGGCUCCUCAGGAGAGACUAUUCAUAGCUUGGAACUAUUGCAUCACAUUGCACAAGUGUGGAGUGGGCAGCUGGACCGGAGCUUGAACUGCUGCUGGGUGAGUGACCAUCUUCUGGCUGCUUUCUGUUGGCUCAGGAAGCAUCUAAAGAAGGUGGAUUUGUUUGUCAGUUGAGCAACAUGCCACUGUCCUGCCCAUGACUGACUUUCUCCCUUUAAACAUUAACCGUCUCUUAAAAUGUUUGUGUUUUGUGCCCAAGGUCAAGGGAGCCUCAAAAGAAGGAGAAGGAGUAAAGAGGGAGGAAGAAUAAAGAAGGGAAGAGGCAAAGGAAGAACCCCUGCAUCAACAGUUCACUCGUUCCUCUAGUAUUUCCUAAGUGUCCAUGGUGUCCCAGGCACCUCCUGGCUUGUCCUGGUUCUCGCAGGUAUAGAACACUAUUGCCAUCCUUACAGACUCACACAAAAGUGAGGUAGGAGAAAAGCCAGACAACCAAAUGGACAGAAUGUGGCAGAAGUCAUAGAAACCCACAGCUAACCAAUUGAGAUAGAUACUUCCUAAAAAGAGAAGACAUACAGAACACUGGACCCAAAAUGACUCUAGCUUUAUGGCUUCUGAGCACUAGACAAGGACCCAUCAGACAGGGAUAGCCUCAGCCCUUCAUUUGAAUUCAGUGCUGUUCACGGGACUAAACAGAAAACACUAUUCCUAGUCCUUCAUUAAAACCUGAUGCUUUGCAGGGGCCCGGACCAGAAGACUCUAUUCUUCAUCUUUAGUUUAUAUAUGGACCCAACCAAAAGAUUCUGUUCAUGAUCCUUCAUUUACAUCCAAUGAGAGGCCAAGGAAGUUUUUCAAUAGAACAAUUUACAUCUGGCAUGAGACCAACUGACGCUUUGAUAGGACAAUUGUCCCAGUGCCGUAUUUACAUGAGUGGUAGCCAAAUCAGAUAUUUUGGAUACUAAAGGCCCCUUCCUCUUUUCUUUAGGGCCACUAUCAGCUCUCUUCACCAGUCCCCUCUGGACCUAUAGAGUAUACUUUUUUCUGCCUUCAAUAAAUCUGCAUCCUCACUGCCUUUUCUGUCUUUCUUGUCCAAUUCUUUGCUCAGGACACCAAGGGUCCAUAAAGAAGCUCCUGGGGACCCCCAUCUGGUAACAGAAGGAGACAGACUUGUAAACAGAACAUAAAGGGAAAAAAAAAAUCCAGCGCUCUCACCCGCCUUCUACUUGGCUUCUGCCUUCCGGAGAAGGUUGCAUGGGGAGACAGAGGUUAGAAAUUUGAAAAUUUCCAGAGUCUUUGACACAGGGCAGUGCAUCCCAAACAUUAGUGAGCAAAACUGAUCUGGAAGACCUUUAAAAGGAAGCUUCCAGCUGAGCAACUCGAUUUCAGUGGCUUUGGCAUCGGGACCCAAAGCUUCUGAAGAUUCUGAUUUUAAGUGAUUCACUAUCGCAAGGGGGCGCUGCUCUUCCAAAACAAGACUGAGGAAUCAAACCUGGCAACUGCAGGGCACAGAACUAACCAGCCCACGAGAGGCAGAUGGAACAAGGAGAGGAAAAAGAGCCAUCCAGAGGAUUAGGGACAGGAAGUGGGAAGAAGAGAAAACCCAGAGAGUGGGAAAGAAAGAAUCUCUUUCCCGAUAUGAAUCAGUGAUGCAGAUUUAGCAGAGACACAGGGACCUAUGAGUAGGUGGCUGGAGUCUGUGGUUUGGCCAGAAUUCUCAGGGUCUUUGUUAGGAAGACUUGAUGACUCACCUAAGCAAGCACAAGCCAUAGAAAGCAAACUUUGCUAGAGCCUUGAGUGUAGUAAAUACCAGCUAUGGAGCAUUGCUUAUCUUAGGUGGCUGCAAAAGGGAGUCUGUUUAGAGAAGAUGCACUAGGUUGACGCUGGCUCUGGUAAUUUCCCUGUUUUUGGCCGCCCUGCCGGCCUUCACCCCAACCCUCCCAGCCGCAGCCCGGUCACCUCCAGAGCAGCUUCCUGCUGGCUGUGCUGGAAGGUGGGAGUGGUCCAGCCUCGGGGAAGACUGAGUGUGGAUACCCACCCGUGGUCUGUGCACCCUGUGGGGGGAACUUCCCCUUUCCUGCCCGCAUCAAGGUGGUUUUCGCUCCUGAACUGUAUUUAGCCCACCUAUGCACUCUCUCGGACUUGUUGAAUCUCACCCUAGAACCAUGUGGUUCUUCUCCAGCUUCUGCUAAGAUGUUCAUCCUGGUCCUUUGCUCAAAGUGCGCUUCUCCCCACUCCUCUCCAAAGACUCAUCUCUCCCUCCUCCUUUCAGCACUUGUUCCGUUGUUCCUCCCCAGGUGAAUUCUUCUUCCCUUUCCCAUCUGGAGUCCUUAGUCCUUACUGAUUGGUCCUGAAGUUCUUGGUUCAGGUUUGCUCCUCGUACUUGACUCCAGGUUCCAGACACGACUCCCGGAAGUCACUAGAGAGCGAUAGUUAGGAACUCUGGCAGAAUCUCAACACUGCCACCUCCCAGCCUUGCACAAGUUAUUUCAUUGCCCUAAGUCUCGGAUUCCUUUUCUAUAGAUUGGGAGAACAACUGUACUGUGAGGAUCCAGGGAGCUAAUAUUGGCCCAGAUCCUGAAACACUGUAGCCCUCAAUGAAUGUUUGCUCUUAUUUUUAUACAUAUUCAUAUCCUUCCUUGUGUUUAGUCUCUAUGGAUUUAGCAAAAUAGACACUAAUAAUAUUUACUGAAUUAUACAUUAGCAGUUUAAGAAGAGGUGGGAAGUUCAAUCUAUCCAUUCAUACAUUUGUAUUUUAUGGUGUUUCCUGUCUACAAGGGUUUGUUUAGAGCGGAAUUAUCUAAAUAAGCCUAGGCAGCCUCUUCUUCAUUACUCUUCCUUUUGUGCCCAUUGCUUCAGGCUGUUUUUGUCACUUCUUUUCUCCUGCUUACAUUUUCUGC